Molecule: long non-coding RNA, 617 nt
Organism: Mobula hypostoma (lesser devil ray)
Lineage: Eukaryota; Metazoa; Chordata; Chondrichthyes; Myliobatiformes; Myliobatidae
Exons: 3
Source: RefSeq, a predicted model, not a curated record
GUGCAUUUGGAAACAAAAAAAGGAUUAUGAAAUUUUUACCACACAAGUCAUGCUCCUAUUUUACAGUAUACCAUUAAAACUACAAAACUAUCUUUGGAGCUACUGAGAUUCAUCUCAAGGCAUGAGGAUGAUGCUGACUGCCUUGAAGCCUGUGGGGACAGUGGAGUAUUCCAGAGCAAUAUAGAAGAUGUUGGUUAGAACCUUUGUUAACUGGACUUUUCAACCCCUCAGUCCUGCCCAGUGUAGCUGCUGUAAUGGGAAGAGGAGAAAAAAAACAGAACAAGAUAUGAAGAGAUUAGCUCUGUGAAACUGAAAAUGGUUAGAAUGAUGGGUCUCCCCGGAAGGAAAUCGAAGUGAGCUAUGUGUACUUGUGACUCUAAGGUGGAAGCUGUAAGGAGAAGAUCUUCAGAGAAAAUGAGGUGGGCAACUGAGAAACAAUGACAUAAUUUGUGAUGAUCUGAAGGAAGAUAUAAGGUGGUGUCAGAACUCCCAUUCAUCAUCUGCAAGUUAGAUAGAUGUCCUUUUGCCAAGUAACCACAGCUCUGCUCUUAUCAGUUGCACUUCAGUCAGCAGUCAAGAAUACUACAGUCCAGUAUAGGCAAAAACAAAGCUGAUAU